RNAcentral lists this ribosomal RNA (495 nucleotides) under uncultured bacterium. RNAcentral describes it as "partial 16S ribosomal RNA". It matches the Rfam family "Bacterial small subunit ribosomal RNA", at positions 28 to 523 of the family's 1533-position model. The record is from RNAcentral.
GAUGAACGCUAGCGGGAGGCCUAACACAUGCAAGCCGAGCGGUAUUUCUUCUUCGGAAGAGAGAGAGCGGCGCACGGGUGCGUAACACGUGUGCAACCUACCUUUAUCUGGGGGACAGCCUUUCGAAAGGAAGAUUAACACCCCAUAAUAUAUUGAAUGGCAUCAUUUGAUAUUGAAAACUCCGGUGGAUAAAGAUGGGCACGCGCAAGAUUAGAUAGUUGGUGAGGUAACGGCUCACCAAGUCAAUGAUCUUUAGGGGUCCUGAGAGGGAGAUCCCCCACACUGGUACUGGGACACGGACCAGACUCCUACGGGAGGCAGCAGUGAGGAAUAUUGGACAAUGGGUGAAAGCCUGAUCCAGCCAUCCCGCGUGAAGGAUGGCGGUCCUAUGGAUUGUAAACUUCUUUUGUACAGGAAUAAACCUACUCUCGUGAGAGUAGCUGAAGGUACUGUACGAAUAAGCACCGGCUAACUCCGUGCCAGCCGCCGCUGUAA